AAAAUAGAUACCCCAGGUAGUCCACGCCGUAAACGAUGAGUGCUAAGUGUUAGGGGGUUUCCGCCCCUUAGUGCUGCAGCUAACGCAUUAAGCACUCCGCCUGGGGAGUACGGUCGCAAGACUGAAACUCAAAGGAAUUGACGGGGGCCCGCACAAGCGGCGGAGCAUGUGGUUUAAUUCGAAGCAACGCGAAGAACCUUACCAGGUCUUGACAUCCUCUGACAACCCUAGAGAUAGGGCUUUCCCUUCGGGGACAGAGUGACAGGUGGUGCAUGGCUGUCGUCAGCUCGUGUCGUGAGAUGUUGGGUUAAGUCCCACAACGAGCGCAACCCUUGAUCUUAGUUGCCAGCAUUUAGUUGGGCACUCUAAGGUGACUGCCGGUGACAAACCGGAGGAAGGUGGGGAUGACGUCAAAUCAUCAUGCCCCUUAUGACCUGGGCUACACACGUGCUACAAUGGACAGAACAAAGGGCUGCGAGACCGCAAGGUUUAGCCAAUCCCACAAAAUCUGUUCUCAGUUCGGAUCGCAGU
RNAcentral lists this ribosomal RNA (531 nucleotides) under uncultured bacterium. RNAcentral describes it as "bacterial SSU rRNA". It matches the Rfam family "Bacterial small subunit ribosomal RNA", at positions 776 to 1304 of the family's 1533-position model. The record is from RNAcentral.